RNAcentral lists this ribosomal RNA (443 nucleotides) under uncultured bacterium. RNAcentral describes it as "bacterial SSU rRNA". It matches the Rfam family "Bacterial small subunit ribosomal RNA", at positions 338 to 795 of the family's 1533-position model. The record is from RNAcentral.
CCUACGGGGGGCAGCAGUGAGGAAUAUUGGGCAAUGGAGGAAACUCUGACCCAGCAACGCCGCGUGAAGGAUGAAGGUUCUCGGAUUGUAAACUUCUGUUCUGUGGAAAGAAAAAAAUGACGGUACCACAGAAGAAAGCUCCGGCAAACUACGUGCCAGCAGCCGCGGUAAUACGUAGGGAGCGAGCGUUGUCCGGAAUAACUGGGCGUAAAGGGAGUGUAGGUUGCAAUUUAAGUUAAAUGUGAAAGCCCGGGGCUCAACUCCGGAAGGUCAUUUAAUACUGGGUUGCUAGAGUGCAGGAGAGGUAAGCGGAAUUCCUAGUGUAGCGGUUAAAUGCGUAGAUAUUAGGAAGAACACCAGAGGCGAAGGCGGCUUACUGGCCUGUAACUGACACUGAAACUCGAAAGCGUGGGGAUCAAACAGGAUUAGAUACCCCAGUAGUC